RNAcentral lists this long non-coding RNA (1301 nucleotides) under Salvator merianae (Argentine black and white tegu). Its description in RNAcentral is "lncRNA (ENSSMRG00000002767.1)". The record is from RNAcentral. Lineage: Eukaryota; Metazoa; Chordata; Lepidosauria; Squamata; Teiidae.
UGAAGGAAAAGUACUAAAGAAAGAGCAAUUUGCAUAGUGCUUUAUAAGUAAGUGUGCUACCCACUGUUAACUGGUUAUGUUUGAGUUCUCAAAAGCAAGGAUAUGCUUUGAAGGCAGAAAAUGGUGGUCUGAGGUUUACAGAUGCUCUAUUAACAAACUCCAUGCAGGUUUAAAAGAUUGGUUAACUGGCUUCCUUGGAUGCAUUUUUUCUGUUCUGUUUUGUAUUCAUUGCAAGCGAAUUCCUAUAGUUUAUGGUACCAUAUUUCUUUAUGCAGGUUGACACUGUUCUUUAAUAUUCAUGCUUUGUCUUUCACAGCUGUCUCUUUCGGUAGAUCUUGAGGUUCUAGGUUGUUGUUGUUUUUCUUUUUUCCCAAAAAAAAGAGAUCAGAGUGAACGAACCUGAAAAUUGCCCACCUCUAAUACAGGGAAGGGGAGGAAAAGCAACAGGUUCUUCUGUAUUUGUGGGCAGGGGAAGGUAAGAGGAAUAUAGGAGCAGCAAAUAAAAAGUGGUGGAAAAACACUUUAUGAUUCCUCUUCAUCAUCUUAACUGGUAUGACCUAACCUACAGCUAUCCUGGAUUUUGCGCUACUUGCACACCAUACUAGUCCACGAGAGGCUGCCCAAGAACUUGACCUGCUCUUUGGAGUAUGCAUGGAACUGAUGCAACGCUGGAAAACAGAGGUACAUUACAGAGGCAAGGGUGGAAGAUAUUGGCCGUUAGAUGGGCCACUGAACGUAAACUCAGGGAUUCCCUUCCUGGUUAAGGCUGUUGCUUUACCUAGCCCUCUCUCCCCUGAUGUUUACAGGAAACCCCCAGCAGGAUGUGUGGCAGCUAUAGCACUCUUCUACUUGGGUUUCCUAAAGACUGUUACCCUGAUCCUGGAAGUGAUGCUAACAUGCAUUUGUGUUCCCCUCCAACCUGAACAGAACGUGAUGGUGCUGGGAGACCUGAACGCUGCUGGUGCCUACAUCCCGGGAGAUGCUUGGGCUGGGAUCCGCCUUCGCAAUCACUUUGCCUUCCAUUGGCUCAUUGGUGACACAGUGGACACCACAGUCAGCCACCGGACACGCUAUGCCUAUGAUAGGCACUAGAGAUUAGCGACCACUAUCCUGUGGAGGUGAAUCUGCGACUUGCUCCUAGGGUCCAACGAGAGCUCUAAGUCUUCAAUCAUCCUUUAAUUACUAGUGACUCUAAGGAUGAAGCUGGAAAGAGAACAAUUUCCUAGGUACUACCUCUGAUGAAGAACUAGGCAAGAUAGAACUUUGUUAAUAAUUGUAAUAAAUCAGUGCUAACCACUGCA